Molecule: ribosomal RNA, 497 nt
Filed under: uncultured bacterium
Lineage: Bacteria
Description: partial 16S ribosomal RNA
Rfam family: Bacterial small subunit ribosomal RNA
Source: RNAcentral
GAUGAACGCUGGCGGCGUGCCUAAUACAUGCGAGUCGAGCGAACAGAUGAGGAGCUUGCUCCUCUGACGUUAGCGGCGGACGGGUGAGUAACACGUGGAUAACCUACCUAUAAGACUGGGAUAACUUCGGGAAACCGGAGCUAAUACCGGAUAAUAUAUUGAACCGCAUGGUUCAAUAGUGAAAGACGGUUUUGCUGUCACUUAUAGAUGGAUCCGCGCCGCAUUAGCUAGUUGGUAAGGUAACGGCUUACCAAGGCAACGAUGCGUAGCCGACCUGAGAGGGUGAUCGGCCACACUGGAACUGAGGCACGGUCCAGACUCCUACGGGAGGCAGCAGUAGGGAAUCUUCCGCAAUGGGCGAAAGCCUGACGGAGCAACGCCGCGUGAGUGAUGAAGGUCUUCGGAUCGUAAAACUCUGUUAUUAGGGAAGAACAAAUGUGUAAGUAACUAUGCACGUCUUGACGGUACCUAAUCAGAAAGCCACGGCUAACUACGUG